CAGAAGACUGUGUUCUCGACAUGGGUGAGAUGCUGGGAGCUUGGCCACUGCCCAGGCAGCACAGGGAAGCUCCGGAACCUGGGAGACCCCAGCAAUGGGCUUUAUUAUGAUCCCUUACUCCUCACUUAUUCAGAGCAGUACUGAUUCUACCAAGUGUGUUUAAACUGUACACCAGAUCUGCCUAAAAACUCCCUGAGCCAAAUACCUAAGGGAAAUCCUUACAAGCUCACAAGAGACAGGGAUAGCUCAGCCUGCCAAUACUUAAUGGUUUUCUGCCCUGGUGGGAAGAGAAACAUACAAAAAACCUUUUCUCUUCCUGUGGGUAUGACAUUAUUCUAUAUCUCCCCGCUCUUUGGAUGGGAAGGCUGGAAAUUGAAUUACUGUACUUUGGGGGAAGGAGGAUUUUGCUUGUGCAGCCACAUUCUCAACAAAGUCUCAGCACAGUGUAAAUGAUUCUCAGCAAAUGAGGUUGCUGCAACGUCCACAGAGACCCAAAGGAUGCUGUUUGUGUCUCUCAGCACCUGGCUGAGCCCCGAUGGUGUGCACGGCAAAGGGCUUGGUGAGUGCAAAAGACAAGGCCCUAACGAGCCUAAAACUCUUCAUAGCAUAGCAUCAAAUGCCAGAUGUGGAUUUCCAGAGAAAUAAAAGUAUAUUCCGGGACAUAACGGCACACAAAGGAUGGUUAUUGCAGCAAAACAUUGGAAACAACGGAACGCCCAUCCACAGGAAGACCAAGCCGUCUUCUCGUCUUCUGGCUGUGUCCUCACGUGGUCUUCUCUCUGCACAUGCGCAUCCCUGGUCUUUGUAUGCGGCCAAAUUUCCUCAGGACGCCAGUCAGAUUGGAUCUGGGCCCACCCUAAGGCCUCAUUUUAACUUCACCCUUUAAAGGCCCUGUCACCAAGCACAGCCACAUUCUGAGGUACUCGGGGUUAGGACUUCAACAUAGGAAUUUGCAGGGGACACAAUUAAUCCAGGCUGUGUGUGUAUGUGUAUGUGUGUGUGGAUGUGUAUGUGUGCAUAGAUGGGUAUGUGUGUGCAUGUGCAUGUGUGUGCUCACAUAUGUAUGUAUAUAUGUAAGUAUAUGGGUGUGUAUAUAUGUGUGUGUGUUGUGCGUGUUUGUAUAUGUAUAUAUGUGUGUGGGGGGGUAUGUAUGUGUGUAUAUGUGCGUAUGUAUGUUUGUGUAUGUGCAUGUGCAUGUGUGUAUGUAUGUAAAAUAUGUGUAUGUAUGUGUGCAUAUUUGUGUGCGUGGUGUAUAUAUGUGGUUAGAUAUGUAUGUGUGUAUGUGUG
RNAcentral lists this long non-coding RNA (1287 nucleotides) under Homo sapiens (human). RNAcentral describes it as "HSALNT0116050". Lineage: Eukaryota; Metazoa; Chordata; Mammalia; Primates; Hominidae. The record is from RNAcentral.